Branchiostoma floridae (Florida lancelet) is the source of this 1088-nucleotide long non-coding RNA. RefSeq lists it as uncharacterized. The record is from RefSeq and is a predicted model, not a curated record. The transcript has 2 exons. Lineage: Eukaryota; Metazoa; Chordata; Leptocardii; Amphioxiformes; Branchiostomatidae.
AGUAAAACCACUGUGCUGGUUCAUUUGUGCAGUAUGCUUCAAACUGACAGGUGGCGCUGCUGUAUGGUAGAAACCAACAUUGAUGGGUGGGGGACAAAGGAACAGGUAAAAUUGUUCACUCAAAAGAUGAUGAUGUUGACUGAGGAAUCCAGCUCCUUUUAUGAGCCCUUGGAAAUAGGCACAAAGUGGGGAAACCCUGAGAAGACCACUCUGAACCAAAGGAAGCUAACUGAAGAGGCUCCUAGCUGUCUGGCUGCUGAUCAAGUGUUAUUUCACGUGCCAACUCUGUGUAAGUGAAACUAGGUCUUGGGAAGGAAAAUCAGCGGUAGAACUCUGCUUAGCUUUAGGUUUACCAGAUGUAUUUACCGUUGGUGUAGUAUUCAAAGAAAUAUAGGUGUAGUAUUCAAAGAAAUAUUAAAUUUAACAUAAUAGUAGUACAUGUAUAGGUAUAGGGAGAAUUCCAUGCUGUUUUAGCUUUCAAAGUUGAUAUCAUAACUUCAUGCUAACUCUUGAACACAAUUUACAUGUAUUUAGAAAUAUGUGAAUGUAUAAAACAAGUAGAUGGCCCAAUAUCAAGCUUGACCAUCAUUUUCCCAACCCCCAUAUAAAAUAUAAUAAAGUUCCAUUCAAGACCUUUUUAGUUUAUGCUAUCCACAAACAAACAGGCACAUGGACAAACGGCACAGAAAACAUGAUAUUCGUGGGGAAGAUAUUAAUUGGAAAGGAAAAGAGUGAAUUUUGCUUAAACUGUCACUGUCUAUCUAUCAUAACUUAUAUCUAUAUGGCCAUUAAGUAUGAAAUACUGAUGUUAUGGUUUGACUAACUAAGCAUAGUCUCUGAGCUGUUUCACAAAAUGACACAAUAGUAAUACAUAAGGUUGAUAGAUAUGCAAUGGCUUGCAUGGUUUAAGUCACAGAAAUUUGCAACAGUGAAUAGUUAUGAAAAAGGAACAUUGUACAAGGUGGACUACUAGUUAUUGUUGUACCAUACAAAAAAUGUAGCUUCACAACUUUGAAAUGAAUUAUAGAAAAGCCAGAAAUAUGCUGAAACAACCUUUUAUUUCAGUAAAGUUCUGUGUAUAGACAUCA